Molecule: long non-coding RNA, 314 nt
Organism: Phyllostomus discolor (pale spear-nosed bat)
Lineage: Eukaryota; Metazoa; Chordata; Mammalia; Chiroptera; Phyllostomidae
Exons: 3
Source: RefSeq, a predicted model, not a curated record
CCACAUGGUUAGAAAGAGUGCAGAAGGACUCCCACCGGCCUGCCUGAGGAAGUGCUACACGGUUUUGGUUUAAGAACAGGAGCCUAGCUGAGCUACAGACUUCUAUUUUCUUUUUCGGAGAUACAGUGCCCUUGACUGGCCUGGUUUGGCAAGGGGAGGCAGGACUGUGUAUGUGUGUUUGUGGGUGUUUUAAAGGGACUUUGGGAUUUAGUGGUAACAUUCCACCAUUACUCUAAACCUGUAUAACUUUUGAAGAAAUAGUUCCUUUCCUCUCUACCAAAGUCUGGCAUUGAGAGCCCCAGUUCAUAACCUUU